RNAcentral lists this long non-coding RNA (520 nucleotides) under Homo sapiens (human). RNAcentral describes it as "HSALNT0303806". The record is from RNAcentral. Lineage: Eukaryota; Metazoa; Chordata; Mammalia; Primates; Hominidae.
AUUUCAUCUUCCCAGCAGCCCUGUGAGGAAGGAGGCACUAGCACAGCAUUUUACAGAGGAAACAAAAUCAGAGAGGAUAGGAAACCUGUCCAAAGUCAUAUGGCUGAUAAGAGGCAGAGUGAAGACUGGACCUGAGCAAGUUUGGUGUAGAAGCCUGUGCUCUUAACUGCCAUCCUAGAUUCUUUCUUAAGACUUCUUCUGAGACCUAAGCUUCAUGUUCUGCCUGUGUGAUUCUGUCUUCACGAUUCUCAUGUUCAAUUACCAAUACUCAAUUCUGUCUUCUACUAAGUAUGUACAGCUCUAAAAGACACACCUCAGUAUGGGCAAUGUUCUCUUAAACUGUGAUAUCCAAAGCAACUUGUCUUUGCUAAAUGAGUACACUUAGCUUGUUUGGAAGAAACUGUCAUUUUACUCUCUAAAGCUUACUUCAUAGGAAAUGGGAAACCAUUUUUCUCUUCCGUGAAUUUGAAGCUUUCAUGUUAUUGUAUAUCCUCAAUUAAAGAAAAUGGGCAAAAUUAUA